UGUAUGUUGGCUUCAGUAGGUUCAGAUUCACUGUUUGGAGUAGGAUGCACCUAGAUGGGAUCUAUCGACCUUAAUAGAAAAAGAAGUCCUAUGCGAUUUGUGAGACUGAGUUCAGAAAGUCUUUGGUCAAAGCAAAUAUGAAUACUGAAAAAGAGUUUUCACAGUAUUCACAAAUAAACUCGAGUCGAGCCAAUCUAGCAUAUAACUGACAAUAAGGUCUGACAAG
RNAcentral lists this long non-coding RNA (226 nucleotides) under Elaeis guineensis (African oil palm). RNAcentral describes it as "long non-coding RNA (EGUI_LNC009668)". Lineage: Eukaryota; Viridiplantae; Streptophyta; Magnoliopsida; Arecales; Arecaceae. The record is from RNAcentral.